AGCAGCCGCGGUAAUUCCAGCUCCAAUAGCGUAUAUUAAAGUUGUUGCAGUUAAAAAGCUCGUAGUUGAAUUUCGGGGUCAGCAAGUUGGUCGUGCCACUGGUAUGCACUGGCUUUGCUGAUUCCUCCUUCUUGAAGAACUGUAAUGCUAUUAAUUUAGUGUUGCAGGGAAACAGGACUGUUACUUUGAAAAAUUAGAGUGUUUAAAGCAGGCUAACGCUUGAAUACAUUAGCAUGGAAUAAUGAAAUAGGACGUUUAAUCCUAUUUUGUUGGUUUCUAGGAUUGACGUAAUGAUUAAUAGGGA
Molecule: ribosomal RNA, 304 nt
Filed under: uncultured Glomus
Lineage: Eukaryota; Fungi; Glomeromycota; Glomeromycetes; Glomerales; Glomeraceae
Description: SSU rRNA
Rfam family: Eukaryotic small subunit ribosomal RNA
Source: RNAcentral